This is a non-coding RNA of Camelina sativa (false flax), 1153 nucleotides long. Lineage: Eukaryota; Viridiplantae; Streptophyta; Magnoliopsida; Brassicales; Brassicaceae. The record is from RefSeq and is a predicted model, not a curated record.
UUUUUUUUUUUUUAUCAGUCAGAUAGAUUAGAUGAGAUGAAUCAUGACUACAUAAUAUCUCCAUGAAGCUGCAGGUUGAAAGGUACGACUUACUACUUUCCCCAACUUGCAGCAUGUAGUACACUAGUACUAAAACACACAUAUCUCUUACAUAUUGGUGUGUGUGUUAUUCUUUAACCGACAACUGUUAGCUUGUUGAGAACAUACUUUGACGUUUCUUAUUUUCUUGUGAAAGUUGUAAUUCCAUGUAGGAAAGAGCAAAGAGCAAGGCGCUGUCAAAAGACUUGUCUCAUCUUGCGGCUGUGCCAGGUUUGUAGUUCAUGUCUCUGCUUUGUGUUUUUGUGACCUGUAGUUUCAUGAAUUAACACUGCAGGAUGUACAAGGAUGGUAGCAUCGUUCCAUUAGAUGGUUCUUUUGGUUAUGCUGCAAACUUUCACACAUGCUGGGAUAUGGUUUCAAGUGAUGUUCAUAUGGUAGCAUCAUUCCAUUAGUUUCAAGUGAUGUUCAUAUGAGGUUUUGAUUUUUGUGUUUCUUCUUAGUAUUUAUUUAACUCAACUGUUAUACAUUGCAGGGUUCUUCUCUUCUUCUUAGACGAUCUCUCAAUCAAGAAUCCAAUCCUUANUUUUUUUUUUUUUUUUUUUUUUUUAACUAAGUUUUAAGGUCUUAGAGAUCAUCUAGUUUGUGCAAUGAUUCAUUCAUCUGGGUAUGUGAACACUGGACUUAAUGAAAAUAGAUCAAAAGCUGUCUACGGAAAGUCAAACCAUUCCGUUUAGAUACACUACAAAGUCUGUAGGGUUUCUCCAGAACUUCAAGUCGUUGUUAGUGAACCUGCUGUUCUCAGAACUGAGAUUGUGAGGCAAUUGUGAGCUUAUAUCAGGAAGAACAACCUCCAAGACCCGAGUAACAAGCGGAAGAUCAUCUAUGAUGAUGCAUUGCGUGUGGUUUUUGAGACUGACUGCACUGACAUGUUCAAAAUGAAUAAAGCGCAGAGAGUUCUCAAGGAACGAUUUCAGGAGAUUGCAGACAAAAAAGGAAUCAAGCUUAGUGUACAUAAAGUGAAGGCUUUGCUUUUUACAUUCUAUCAAGAUCCUCUGUAUUAAAAUCAGUUUUUUUCUUGAAGAUCUUUCCUGCUGGUCAAAACCAGUGAUCUGUA